CCCCCAUCUUGCUUGUCCCACAAUCUGUCAGCUCGCUUCUUUUCCCUUGGGUUCAGUCUGAAUCUUUAGAUUAGACUCAGUAUCCUACCAUCUUUGCCGCAUUCCUGAACCUCCAUAGCAAGCGAUGUAGAUCAGUUUUUUUUGGUAUUCCAUACUCCUCAUAUCCUACUUCAAUUGGCUGAUGGGAUCAGUCUCAUAGUGUUUUUCGUUACAAUUAGGGAGCGCUGUACAUCUGCCUCAUAUCCUGCUUCAAUUGGCUGAACCUACAGAGUGUAUUUAAUUAGUAUGAUGUUCACAGCAGGGGUGGAGCUACUAGGAGCCUCUGAUGCACAGGCAUCAGGGUCGAUGUUGAUUUCUUCAAGCGAUUGUGUAGAGUUGUUUGGCCGUGCACCAGGUUAGGCUGACAGCGCUGCAUCAGGUACAGAGACAAUCCCACGGCGGCCUUGUUUGGAACUGGUUCAUGGGUAGGCCAGGUCUUGUUCAGACGUGGCCAGGCCUUGGCGUAGCCUUGUGGGCUGUAGCCUUUUGGGUACGUUUGGUGUGGCUGGGCAUCAAGGCGUCAAUGCCCUUAGGUGUUGUAGGGUCACGCCAACACGCGAUCACUUGACGAACCACAUCGGAUGGGCGACGCUGCGCUAGGCUCGGUCUUUACACCUAGCAUCAUCCAUGCUAAUCCGAUCAGUCACUGACCUCAGCUCCAGCUCAAAGGUAGAGUAUGACAUAUAGAUGUAGUAAAUCUUAAAUCUCGGGUUAACCAUUGCAAAAAUUGUGCUUUUAGGCGGUAUCUUCUUUAGAUUUUUUUUAGUUCUAUGUACAGGGGUAUUCUGAAGUUGAGAAUUCAGUUCAUUUACUUGACUUUAUCAAAUGUGGAUAGCCACAAGACUGGAGACGCGAGACUUUGUGGUUAGUCUAAUAAUGUUGCAAUAAGUCGCUCCAUCGUCGUAUUUUCCCUCCUUUUUUGCAAUAAUUGUUCAUUCACAUUUUUUCAGAAACUAUUGCCAAUGUACUAAGUCUUAUUCAGAGAUUGUCAAUAUUGUUGGGCGUGUCCUGCUCUCCCUCUUUUAUAUUUGGUUGUUUGGUAUCACACUGAAGGUGCUAGAUGUAAUGUGGACUCAGGGCCAGAACAGAGAAGAACCAGAGCAGCUAGACUCGGGAACGCAGCCGAAAGAACGCCGAUAACCGUAAGAAACAGAAGACAAAACAUAAAAUUGGAUCAAAAUCUUACUCGCAAGUAAGCUUUGAGAAGGUAUGAGUCUAACUAAAUAUGUAUGCCUCGCUGCUAAAUAUGGUUUCG
Triticum urartu is the source of this 1294-nucleotide RNA transcript. RefSeq lists it as uncharacterized. Lineage: Eukaryota; Viridiplantae; Streptophyta; Magnoliopsida; Poales; Poaceae. The record is from RefSeq and is a predicted model, not a curated record.